GAUGAACGCUAGCGGCAGGCUUAAUACAUGCAAGUCGAGGGGCAGCAUGAUUGUAGCAAUACAAUUGAUGGCGACCGGCAAACGGGUGCGGAACACGUACACAACCUUCCAACAAGUGGGGGAUAGCCCAGAGAAAUUUGGAUUAAUACCCCGUAACAUAGCGAUGUGGCAUCGCAUUGCUAUUAUAGAUUUUUCGCUUGUUGAUGGGUGUGCGGCUGAUUAGAUAGUUGGCGGGGUAACGGCCCACCAAGUCUACGAUCAGUAGCUGAUGUGAGAGCAUGAUCAGCCACACGGGCACUGAGACACGGGCCCGACUCCUACGGGAGGCAGCAGUAAGGAAUAUUGGUCGAUGGACGAAAGUCUGUACCAGCCAUGCCGCGUGGAGGAUGAAGGACCUCUGGAUUGUAAACUUCUUUUAUAUGGGACGAAAAAAGGGUUUUCUAACUCGUCUGACGGUACCAUAUGAAUAAGCACCGGCUAACUCCGUGCCAGCCGCCGCAGUAA
This 504-nucleotide ribosomal RNA is filed under the name uncultured bacterium. RNAcentral describes it as "partial 16S ribosomal RNA". It matches the Rfam family "Bacterial small subunit ribosomal RNA", at positions 28 to 523 of the family's 1533-position model. The record is from RNAcentral.